GCCACACAGAUGCCUGGGACCAAAGUUAUCGUCCUGAUUUAAUGAAAAGGAUGCUGAGGCUCAGGUGAAGUGACCUGCUCAAGACCAUGCAGGUGGUUGAGGUUGGAUCUGAGGACAGCAGACCUCCUCCCUGGAAGCCCAAGCCUCUCCCUGAGUCUGAUGGCUCCCUCAGAAUUGAGUGGACAUUUAAAAAACACCUACUGUAUAAAUAACCUCCCCAAAGUUCCUGGCAGUUCAAGCAUAAGAAGAUAAAGCAGAAUAUUAAAAAUACAUAUGCACUCUAGUGAAAGUUCCUAGGUGUUGUGUAGGAGUGAGUGCUUGAUGCAGUUGUCAAGGUAGCUAUAAUGAAAAAUGGUCACGGUUUGAAUGUGCCCCUUUAUCUCACUAACUCUAUAACCCAGUUUUAUCAAGGACUUCAGGCUUGAAGAGCUCAAACUGCAUUUUGAAGCAUAUAUCAUUAAUAUUCACCACCACACCCUCCAAGUGUGUAGGGCAUAUGUUAUUAUCUUCAUGUUUCAGAUGGAAAUACACCAUAAAAAGACGCAGAACAUGUGGGCCUUGGUUAAGGUUCUGAGACUGUUCCCUUUUAGCACCAUCAGCCACGUCCAAUUCAGCUUUAUCCUCGCUGGUAAAAAGCAAUGCCGAGAUAAACCAAGGGGAUGCUGUCAUUUCAACUGAUGUCCCCAAAGUCAGAGUCUGACCAAAAUCAUAAGAUCAAAGGCCUAGGACUAUGAUAAAAAUGAAAGGCCAUGAUGAAGCAAGAUUAGCAAAGAAGCUAUUAUGUCCUGGCCUGGAUAUUCAAACAUCCUUUGAAAAAUAUUAAAAACACAGAGGUGUAUUAUUAUACAAUGGCAUCAAAGCCUAAGCCUCACGUGCAAACAGCCAGCCCACGGGAUCGAAGCAGUGGCCACCCAAGAGCAGGGGUUUCACUUUUGAUUCUGCUGUGAUCAUUCAGCAGGAUCUUGAGCAUUGGUUUCACUGCUUCCAACACUUUGCUGUUUCUCAUUCUUCAAAAUGUCUCUGAGCUUUUGAAAAGGCAGGCGAGAAACACCUGACUUUAGCAACAAUAGUACCACUGAAACCACCAUGAGAAGCAUCAUGCUGAGUAGAUCAGUGAUUCAUCUGAUCCAGAGUCCUGUCACCAUUACCUGAAAUGUUUGUGAGACGGCUUCUUAACACUGACUCUGGGCUUCUGGAAACAUCAUCUUACAAAUGCAACAAUCACACAAGAUUAUUCAUUGUAAUGAUUUUUAUAAUCACAAAAACUUAGGUACAAACUAAGUGUUCAUUAAUAUGAAAUUGGUUAAACAGAUCAUGUACACCCUAUAAUGGAAUAUAAUUUAGCUCUUAAAAAGGAUAAGCAAGAUAUUUGUACAUCAAUAAAGAUAUAUUGGUAAGUCAAUAAAACAAUAUGUGCACACUGGAGUGUAUGUAGGAUGCUACUAUUGGAUUUAAGAACUGAGGAUGAAUAUUUCAGUCAUUUCCCGUAUUCUUAUUGGACCCCUUCUACAUCCCAGGAACUAUAACCCUUCUGGGGAUAUGACGGCAAAGAAGAAACAGACCAAGUUCCCAGCCUUCCAGGAACUUAUUCCUGAUUUAUUGUAUAUGCAUUUUUAAGAUCUUUGGAAAGAUGCACCUAUAACAGUUGGUUUGCACAUAUGAACUUUCAUAUUUUUAAAAUGUUUAAGCCAAAUAAAAUACAAAUAAAGGGGGGAAAUGGGUAAAUAGUAAACACCUUUCUUUAUUAAUCCAAUAUGUAUUUUCACUAAUUUAUCCAAAUUUGUCUUGAUCCUCUUUAUCUAUUUAGAUUAAGUAUUAUGCCCUGUUAGCAGAGCCUUUUCCAUAUAUUUACAUGUGGAAUUUAAAUAAAACAGCAUUCAUUUUGUUUA
RNAcentral lists this long non-coding RNA (1889 nucleotides) under Marmota monax (woodchuck). The record is from RNAcentral. Lineage: Eukaryota; Metazoa; Chordata; Mammalia; Rodentia; Sciuridae.